AGAGUUUGAUUAUGGCUCAGAACGAACGCUGGCGGCAGGCCUAACACAUGCAAGUCGAGCGCGCCCUUCGGGGUGAGCGGCGGACGGGUUAGUAACGCGUGGGAACGUACCCUUUGGUAGGGAAUAGCCACUGGAAACGGUGAGUAAUACCCUAUGAGCCCUUCGGGGGAAAGAUUUAUCGCCAAAAGGAUCGGCCCGCGUUAGAUUAGGUAGUUGGUGGGGUAAUGGCCUACCAAGCCUACGAUCUAUAGCUGGUUUUAGAGGAUGAUCAGCAACACUGGGACUGAGACACGGCCCUGACUCCUACGGGAGGCAGCAGUGGGGAAUCUUGGACAAUGGGGGCAACCCUGAAUCCAGCCAUGCCGCGUGAGUGAAGAAGGCCUUAGGGUCGUAAAGCUCUUUCGCCUGUGAAGAUAAUGACGGUAGCAGGUAAAGAAACCCCGGCUAACUCCGUGCCAGCAGCCGC
This 466-nucleotide ribosomal RNA is filed under the name uncultured bacterium. Its description in RNAcentral is "bacterial SSU rRNA". It matches the Rfam family "Bacterial small subunit ribosomal RNA", at positions 8 to 518 of the family's 1533-position model. The record is from RNAcentral.